Molecule: ribosomal RNA, 340 nt
Filed under: uncultured bacterium
Lineage: Bacteria
Description: partial 16S ribosomal RNA
Rfam family: Bacterial small subunit ribosomal RNA
Source: RNAcentral
CCUACGGGGGGCAGCAGUGAGGAAUAUUGGUCAAUGGGCGGAAGCCUGAACCAGCCAAGUAGCGUGCAGGAUGACGGCCCUACGGGUUGUAAACUGCUUUUAUACGGGAAUAACGCGCCUUACGUGUAGGGCUUUGCAUGUACCGUAUGAAUAAGGACCGGCUAAUUCCGUGCCAGCAGCCGCGGUAAUACGGAAGGUCCGGGCGUUAUCCGGAUUUAUUGGGUUUAAAGGGAGCGUAGGCCGGGUGUCAAGUGUACUGUGAAAUGUUCGGGCUCAACCCGGGCCUUGCAGUGCGAACUGGCGUGCUUGAGUCAGAGGAGAGGAGGCGGAAUUCGUCGUG